This 75-nucleotide transfer RNA is filed under the name archaeon. RNAcentral's name for it is "tRNA-Pro". It matches the Rfam family "tRNA". From Rfam's summary of the family: Transfer RNA (tRNA) molecules are approximately 80 nucleotides in length. Their secondary structure includes four short double-helical elements and three loops (D, anti-codon, and T loops). The record is from RNAcentral.
GGGGCUGUGGUGUAGCUUGGUCUAUCAUCGUAGGUUUGGGACCUAUGGACCCCAGUUCGAAUCUGGGCAGCCCCA